AUACGUAGGGUGCGAGCGUUGUCCGGAAUUACUGGGCGUAAGGAGCUCGUAGGUGGUUUGUCGCGUCGUCUGUGAAAUUCCGGGGCUUAACUCCGGGCGUGCAGGCGAUACGGGCAUAACUUGAGUACUGUAGGGGAGACUGGAAUUCCUGGUGUAGCGGUGAAAUGCGCAGAUAUCAGGAGGAACACCGGUGGCGAAGGCGGGUCUCUGGGCAGUAACUGACGCUGAGGAGCGAAAGCAUGGGUAGCGAACAGGAUUAGAUACCCUGGUAGUCCAUGCCGUAAACGGUGGGCGCUAGGUGUAGGGGUCUUCCACGACUUCUGUGCCGUAGCUAACGCAUUAAGCGCCCCGCCUGGGGAGUACGGCCGCAAGGCUAAAACUCAAAUGAAUCGGCGGGG
This 398-nucleotide ribosomal RNA is filed under the name uncultured bacterium. RNAcentral describes it as "partial 16S ribosomal RNA". It matches the Rfam family "Bacterial small subunit ribosomal RNA", at positions 523 to 918 of the family's 1533-position model. The record is from RNAcentral.